This 253-nucleotide ribosomal RNA is filed under the name uncultured bacterium. RNAcentral's name for it is "partial 16S ribosomal RNA". It matches the Rfam family "Bacterial small subunit ribosomal RNA", at positions 524 to 776 of the family's 1533-position model. The record is from RNAcentral.
GACGAAGGAUGCAAGCGUUAUCCGGAUUCAUUGGGUUUAAAGGGAGCGUAGGUGGCCUUAUAAGUCAGUGGUGAAAUCUCUGGGCUUAACCCAGAAAUUGCCAUUGAUACUGUAGGGCUUGAGUACAGUUGCUGUGGGCGGAAUAUGACAUGUAGUGGUGAAAUACAUAGAGAUGUCAUAGAACACCGAUUGCGAAGGCAGCUCACAAAACUGUAACUAACACUGAGGCUCGAAAGUGCGGGGAUCAAACAGG